RNAcentral lists this long non-coding RNA (485 nucleotides) under Rattus norvegicus (Norway rat). RNAcentral's name for it is "long non-coding RNA NONRATT025655". Lineage: Eukaryota; Metazoa; Chordata; Mammalia; Rodentia; Muridae. The record is from RNAcentral.
AGGCUGGAUGUUGAAUUGCCUAUACUUCAAUCUGAACGUGGGAUGAGAAUGAUGGCUGUGCAUUAAAUGAACAACUCAAUAUGUGACGCCAUGGAGAAGUACAAGGAGCUCAUACAAGAGAACAAUUCCUACACAUCAGGCACUUCCAGCUCCUGCGUGAACGGACUCCAUAGAAGAACAAUAUAAAGAUUUUGCUGAAUGAGAACAAAAAACUGAUGGUGGAGCAGACUGUUCUGCCAGCAUCCUGUGUGGAGGCAAAGAGGUUCUGUGAAGAGGCCGGAAUGAACAUCUGUGUCCCCAGAGCCAAGCAGUUGCAGGUAUGCAUGCCUCCACUGACAUUACACUCAUCUAAUGACCAGAAUAAGGAAGGAUUAGAGGAAACAAUGCAGGACACUCUGAAGCAGAGAGAACUGAUCACCCAGGAAAGUGACUUGGGAGAAACAGUGUAGAAGAAUUUUGACAUCUUUGAGAUCAGGUAGGAACAU